This is a long non-coding RNA of Sinocyclocheilus rhinocerous, 119 nucleotides long. RefSeq lists it as uncharacterized. The transcript has 3 exons. Lineage: Eukaryota; Metazoa; Chordata; Actinopteri; Cypriniformes; Cyprinidae. The record is from RefSeq and is a predicted model, not a curated record.
GUCUCAGUGUGUGAAUCUGAAUCAUGAGAUCAUCUGUGAUGCUUCAGGAUUCAGACUGAAGACCGUGUUCAGAGUGAGGAAUGAGACAGACCCCAUCAGCGGAUCGACACAAACCCCAA